GAGUUUGAUUCUGGCUCAGGAUGAACGCUGGCGGCGUGCUUAACACAUGCAAGUCGAGCGGAGUUUACAAUGGAAAGAUCUUCGGAAAUGGAAGCUGUAAACUUAGCGGCGGACGGGUGCGUAACGCGUGGGUAAUCUGCCCCUAUCAUCGGGAUAACACAUCGAAAGAUGUGCUAAUACCGAAUAAUAUACUUUUUUGGCAUCAAGAGAGUAUCAAAGUGUUAGCGGAUAGGGAUGAGCCUGCGUCUGAUUAGUUAGUUGGUGGGGUAAUGGCCUACCAAGGCGACGAUCAGUAGCCGACCUGAGAGGGUGAUCGGCCACACUGGAACUGAGACACGGUCCAGACUCCUACGGGAGGCAGCAGUGGGGAAUAUUGCACAAUGGGCGAAAGCCUGAUGCAGCAANCGCCGCGUGAGCGAUGAAGGUCUUCGGAUCGUAAAGCUCUGUCGCCAUGGGAAGAUAAUGACCGNNCCCAU
This 476-nucleotide ribosomal RNA is filed under the name Proteocatella sp. canine oral taxon 032. RNAcentral describes it as "bacterial SSU rRNA". It matches the Rfam family "Bacterial small subunit ribosomal RNA", at positions 9 to 464 of the family's 1533-position model. The record is from RNAcentral. Lineage: Bacteria; Bacillati; Bacillota; Clostridia; Peptostreptococcales; Filifactoraceae.